UAAUACGUAGGGGGCAAGCGUUGUCCGGAUUUAUUGGGCGUAAAGAGCUCGUAGGCGGUUCGGCAAGUCGGGUGUGAAACCCCCAGGCUCAACCUGGGGACGCCACCCGAUACUGCUGUGACUUGAGUCCGGUAGGGGAGCGUGGAAUUCCUGGUGUAGCGGUGAAAUGCGCAGAUAUCAGGAGGAACACCAGCGGCGAAGGCGGCGCUCUGGGCCGGAACUGACGCUGAGGAGCGAAAGCGUGGGUAGCAAACAGGAUUAGAUACCCUGGUAGUCCACGCCGUAAACGUUGGGCACUAGGUGUGGGGCCUUAUCAACGGGUUCCGUGCCGCAGCUAACGCAUUAAGUGCCCCGCCUGGGGAGUACGGCCGCAAGGCU
RNAcentral lists this ribosomal RNA (378 nucleotides) under uncultured bacterium. RNAcentral describes it as "bacterial SSU rRNA". It matches the Rfam family "Bacterial small subunit ribosomal RNA", at positions 521 to 895 of the family's 1533-position model. The record is from RNAcentral.